RNAcentral lists this microRNA precursor (68 nucleotides) under Caenorhabditis remanei. RNAcentral's name for it is "microRNA crm-mir-7604 precursor". The record is from miRBase by way of RNAcentral. Lineage: Eukaryota; Metazoa; Nematoda; Chromadorea; Rhabditida; Rhabditidae.
CGAUGUUCAGUUAUGGAUACGUGGAAAUGAAGAAGAUAUUGGAAACGUAUGCCUAACUGAGUAUCAUC